RNAcentral lists this long non-coding RNA (410 nucleotides) under Salmo salar (Atlantic salmon). RNAcentral describes it as "lncRNA (ENSSSAG00000113573.1)". Lineage: Eukaryota; Metazoa; Chordata; Actinopteri; Salmoniformes; Salmonidae. The record is from RNAcentral.
UUGCAACUAAUUUCAUGUAUAUUUUCAUGGAAAACAAGGACAUUUCUAAGUGACCCAAAACUUUUGAACAGUAGUGUAUACAGUGGAUUUCUUAAGAUGUUGACCAAUCCAUAAAAACAUGAAAAUGAUUAACAUUUCUGGUCUUUUGUAUAUAAGGUAAGCUAAUAUUCAAUGAGACCUGCCCAGAGGCCAUAGAGGAGAGAAAGAAGGAGCUGCAGAGUCGCUGUAAGGUGUACUGCUGGAGUAUAUAUGCAGAGGGUGUACCCCAAAUAAUGAAAUGUGACAGUGCUUCUGAUCUCCCUGCUGAGGUCCGCUUCUCUUUCACCAAGGACUUGGAGUUCAACUUCACAUUAGCCGCAGCUACAGGCCAAGAACCCCCAGGGGUACAUGGACCCCAGGUUGAGAACCAU